UAGAUUGAAGCCCGCUGGAUUGGGUAUUUAGUUGUUAACUAAAAUUAUUACGGGAUCAAGGCCCGUCGGUCUAGG
RNAcentral lists this transfer RNA (75 nucleotides) under Tarentola chazaliae (helmethead gecko). RNAcentral describes it as "tRNA-Asn". Lineage: Eukaryota; Metazoa; Chordata; Lepidosauria; Squamata; Phyllodactylidae. The record is from RNAcentral.